RNAcentral lists this ribosomal RNA (466 nucleotides) under uncultured bacterium. Its description in RNAcentral is "partial 16S ribosomal RNA". It matches the Rfam family "Bacterial small subunit ribosomal RNA", at positions 28 to 507 of the family's 1533-position model. The record is from RNAcentral.
GAUGAACGCUGGCGGCGUGCUUAACACAUGCAAGUCGAACGGUGAAAGAGAGCUUGCUCUCUGGAUCAGUGGCGAACGGGUGAGUAACACGUGAGCAAUCUGCCCUUGACUCUGGGAUAAGCGCUGGAAACGGCGUCUAAUACCGGAUACGAGCUGCGAAGGCAUCUUCAGCAGCUGGAAAGAACUUCGGUCAGGGAUGAGCUCGCGGCCUAUCAGCUAGUUGGUGAGGUAACGGCUCACCAAGGCGUCGGCGGGUAGCCGGCCUGAGAGGGUGACCGGCCACACUGGGACUGAGACACGGCCCAGACUCCUACGGGAGGCAGCAGUGGGGAAUAUUGCACAAUGGGCGAAAGCCUGAUGCAGCAACGCCGCGUGAGGGACGACGGCCUUCGGGUUGUAAACCUCUUUUAGCAGGGAAGAAGCGAAAGUGACGGUACCUGCAGAAAAAGCACCGGCUAACUACGUG